GGUUAAGCUACUAAGGGCACAUGAUGGAUGCCUUGGUACCAGUAGGCGAUGAAGGACGUGUUAAGCUGCGAUAAGCCUCGGUUAGCUGCAAAAGAGCUUUGAACCGGGGAUUUCCGAAUGGGGAAACCCAACUGGAGUCAUGUCCAGUUACCGGUAACUGAAUACAUAGGUUAUCGGGGCGAUACCUAGGGAAGUGAAACAUCUCAGUACCUAGAGGAAAAGAAAUCAACCGAGAUUCCGCAAGUAGUGGCGAGCGAACGCGGAGGAGCCUAAACCGAAGUGUUUACAUUUCGGGGUUGCGGGACUUCGACAUGGUAUGUCUGAUUGUUAGUGGAAUGUUCUGGAAAGUUCAGCCAUAGAGGGUGAAAGCCCCGUAUAUGAAAACAAUCAGCAACCUAGAAGUAUCCCAAGUAGGUCGGAACACGUGAAACUCUGACUGAAUCCGGGGGGCCCACCCUCCAAGGCUAAAUACUAACUGGUGACCGAUAGUGAAUAGUACCGUGAGGGAAAGGUGAAAAAGCACCCUUGUUAAGGGAGUGAAAAGUACCUGAAAUCAUGUGCCUACAAAGUGUAGGAGCUCUUCGGAGUGACUGCAUGCCUUUUGCAUAAUGAGCCUGCGACUUACUCUACGUGGCGAGGUUAAGUUAAGAACGAAGCCGAAGCGAAAGCGAGUGUUAAUAGCGCGUCUAGUCGCGUGGAGUAGACCCGAAGCUAAGUGAUCUAACCAUGACCAGGUUGAACCUCCGGUAACACGGAGUGGAGGACCGAACCAGUACAUGUUGAAAAAUGUUUGGAUGAGUUGUGGUUAGGGGUGAAAGGCCAAUCAAACUUAGUGAUAGCUGGUUCUCUUCGAAAUAGCUUGAGGGCUAGCCUUGCACCAUAGCACACGGGGGUAGAGCACUGAUUGUUCGCGGGCCCUUACCAGGGUACCAACAACUAUCAAACUCCGAAUACCGUGUUGCCGUACUGCAGGAGUCAGACUGCGGGGGAUAAGCUCCGUAGUCGAAAGGGAAACAGCCCAGACCGCCGGUUAAGGUCCCUAAUUUGGACUUAGUGGUUUGAAGGAUGUGGAGCUGCGUAGACAGCCAGGAUGUUGGCUUAGAGGCAGCCACCAUUUAAAGAGUGCGUAAUAGCUCACUGGUCGAGUGGUUCUGCGCCGAAGAUGAUCGGGACUGAAGUCCAAAACCGAAACCGCGGAUCGUGAAUUUAUUCACGGUGGUAGAAGAGCGUUGUAUACGGGUUGAAGCCGAUGAGGAAUCGGAGGUGGACUGUAUACAAGUGACCAUGCAGGCAUGAGUAGCGAAAAACCAGGUGAGAAUCCUGGUCACCGAAAACCCAAGGUUUCCUCCGGAAGGUUCGUCCGCGGAGGGUUAGUCGGAACCUAAGGCGAGGCCGAAAGGCGUAGUCGAUGGACAACAGGUUAAUAUUCCUGUACCACCUUGUUUGAGCGAUGGAGGGACGCAGUAUGCUAGGCGAUCCAGCUGUUGAAUUAGCUGGUCUAAGAGCGUAGGGCGUGAUCCAGGUAAAUCCGGAUCACAUUAAGCCUGAGACUUGAUGGGUAGUUUCUUCGGAAACGAACUCGCUGAUGCUUUGCUGACGAGAAAAGCUUCUAAGCGUUGACAACAGGGUGUCCGUACCGUAAACCGACACAGGUAGGUAAGGCGAGAAGCCUAAGGUGCGCGAGAGAAACCACGUUAAGGAACUCGGCAAAUUAGCCCCGUAACUUCGGGAGAAGGGGUGCCAUCAUGGUGAAACGACUUGCUCGUGGAGCCUACGGUGGUUGCAACAAAGAGGCUGGUGCGACUGUUUACCAAAAACACAGCUCUCUGCUAACUCGUAAGAGGAUGUAUAGGGAGUGACACGUGACCAAUGCCAAAAGGUCAAGGGAAUGGGUUAGACUUCGGUCGAAGCUCUGAACUGAAGCCCUGGUGAAUGUCGGCCGUAACUAUAACGGUCCUAAGGUAGCGAAAUUCCUUGUCGGGUAAGUUCCGACCUGCACGAAUCGUGUAACGAUGCCAGCACUGUCUCAACGUGGAUCUCGGCGAAGUUGUAGUUCCGGUGAAAAUGCCGGAUACCUGCGGAAGGACGGAAAGACCCCAUGAACCUUUACUGUAAUCUGAUAUUGGUAUUUGGUUAUUCAUGUGUAGCAUAGGUGGGAGGCUGUGAAGCGGCUACGCCAGUACCCGUGGAGCCACAGGUGAAAUACCACCCUUGUGUAGUUGAAUAUCUAACUUCGAUCCCGUGAAACCGGGCGAAGGACAGUGUCAGAGGGUCAGUUUGACUGGGGCGGUUUCCUCCCAAAUUGUAACGGAGGAGCCCGAAGGUACACUCAACACGGUUGGCAAUCGUGUGUAGAGCGUAAGGGUAGAAGUGUGCUUUACUGUAAGACAGACAUGUCGAGCAGUUGCGAAAGCAGGGCCUAGUGAUCCAGCGAUGGAAUGUGGAAUCGUCGUUGCUCAACGGAUAAAAGGUACUCUGGGGAUAACAGGCUGAUAGCGCCCAAGCGUCCAUAGCGACGGCGCUGUUUGGCACCUCGAUGUCGGCUCAUCACAUCCUGGGGCUGAAGAAGGUCCCAAGGGUUCGGCUGUUCGCCGAUUAAAGUGGUACGCGAGCUGGGUUCAGAACGUCGUAAGACAGUUCGGUCCUUAUCCUCCGCAGGCGCAGGAUAUUUGACAGGAUCAUUCCCUAGUACGAGAGGACCGGGAAUGACUAACCUCUGGUGUUCCAAUUGUCGCGUCAGCGGCAUUGUUGGGUAGCUAAGUUGGGAACGGAUAAGCGCUGAAAGCAUCUAAGCGCCAAGCCCACCUGAAGACUAGAUAUCCCUAAUGCGUUAGCAUUCUGAAGGCUGGUCGAAGACUACGACCUCGAUAGGCUGGAGGUGUAAGCACAGUAAUGUGUUCAGCUUACCAGUACUAAUCAGCCGUGAGGCUUAACCAC
This 2937-nucleotide ribosomal RNA is filed under the name Lentisphaerota bacterium. RNAcentral's name for it is "Bacterial large subunit ribosomal RNA". It matches the Rfam family "Bacterial large subunit ribosomal RNA". The record is from Rfam by way of RNAcentral. Lineage: Bacteria; Pseudomonadati; Lentisphaerota. RNAcentral also lists the same sequence under 1 other name.